Molecule: ribosomal RNA, 1444 nt
Filed under: uncultured organism
Description: SSU rRNA
Rfam family: Bacterial small subunit ribosomal RNA
Source: RNAcentral
UAUGAACGCUAGCUACAGGCUUAACACAUGCAAGUCGAGGGGCAGCAUGGUCUUAGCUUGCUAAGGCCGAUGGCGACCGGCGCACGGGUGAGUAACACGUAUCCAACCUGCCGUCUACUCUUGGACAGCCUUCUGAAAGGAAGAUUAAUACAAGAUGGCAUCAUGAGUCCGCAUGUUCACAUGAUUAAAGGUAUUCCGGUAGACGAUGGGGAUGCGUUCCAUUGGAUAGUAGGCGGGGUAACGGCCCACCUAGUCUUCGAUGGAUAGGGGUUCUGAGAGGAAGGUCCCCCACAUUGGAACUGAGACACGGUCCAAACUCCUACGGGAGGCAGCAGUGAGGAAUAUUGGUCAAUGGGCGAGAGCCUGAACCAGCCAAGUAGCGUGAAGGAUGACUGCCCUAUGGGUUGUAAACUUCUUUUAUAAAGGAAUAAAGUCGGGUAUGGAUACCCGUUUGCAUGUACUUUAUGAAUAAGGAUCGGCUAACUCCGUGCCAGCAGCCGCGGUAAUACGGAGGAUCCGAGCGUUAUCCGGAUUUAUUGGGUUUAAAGGGAGCGUAGAUGGAUGUUUAAGUCAGUUGUGAAAGUUUGCGGCUCAACCGUAAAAUUGCAGUUGAUACUGGAUAUCUUGAGUGCAGUUGAGGCAGGCGGAAUUCGUGGUGUAGCGGUGAAAUGCUUAGAUAUCACGAAGAACUCCGAUUGCGAAGGCAGCCUGCUAAGCUGCAACUGACAUUGAGGCUCGAAAGUGUGGGUAUCAAACAGGAUUAGAUACCCUGGUAGUCCACACGGUAAACGAUGAAUACUCGCUGUUUGCGAUAUACUGCAAGCGGCCAAGCGAAAGCGUUAAGUAUUCCACCUGGGGAGUACGCCGGCAACGGUGAAACUCAAAGGAAUUGACGGGGGCCCGCACAAGCGGAGGAACAUGUGGUUUAAUUCGAUGAUACGCGAGGAACCUUACCCGGGCUUAAAUUGCAGAUGAAUUACGGUGAAAGCCGUAAGCCGCAAGGCAUCUGUGAAGGUGCUGCAUGGUUGUCGUCAGCUCGUGCCGUGAGGUGUCGGCUUAAGUGCCAUAACGAGCGCAACCCUUGUUGUCAGUUACUAACAGGUUCCGCUGAGGACUCUGACAAGACUGCCAUCGUAAGAUGUGAGGAAGGUGGGGAUGACGUCAAAUCAGCACGGCCCUUACGUCCGGGGCUACACACGUGUUACAAUGGGGGGUACAGAGGGCCGCUACCACGCGAGUGGAUGCCAAUCCCCAAAACCUCUCUCAGUUCGGACUGGAGUCUGCAACCCGACUCCACGAAGCUGGAUUCGCUAGUAAUCGCGCAUCAGCCACGGCGCGGUGAAUACGUUCCCGGGCCUUGUACACACCGCCCGUCAAGCCAUGGGAGCCGGGGGUACCUGAAGUGCGUAACCGCGAGGAGCGCCCUAGGGUAAAACUGGUGACU